This 506-nucleotide ribosomal RNA is filed under the name uncultured bacterium. RNAcentral describes it as "partial 16S ribosomal RNA". It matches the Rfam family "Bacterial small subunit ribosomal RNA", at positions 30 to 523 of the family's 1533-position model. The record is from RNAcentral.
AUUGAACGCUGGCGGUAGGCCUAACACAUGCAAGUCGAACGGCAGCACAGGAGAGCUUGCUCUCUGGGUGGCGAGUGGCGGACGGGUGAGGAAUACAUCGGGAUCUACUUUUUCGUGGGGGAUAACGUAGGGAAACUUACGCUAAUACCGCAUACGACCUACGGGUGAAAGCAGGGGAUCUUCGGACCUUGCGCGAUUGAAUGAGCCGAUGUCGGAUUAGCUAGUUGGCGGGGUAAAGGCCCACCAAGGCGACGAUCCGUAGCUGGUCUGAGAGGAGCAUCAGCCACACUGGAACUGGGAGACGGUCAAGACGCCUACGGGAGGCAGCAGUGGGGAAUAUUGGACAAUGGGCGCAAGCCUGAUCCAGCCAUACCGCGUGGGUGAAGAAGGCCUUCGGGUUGUAAAGCCCUUUUGUUGGGAAAGAAAUCCAGCUGGUUAAUACCCGGUUGGGAUGACGGUACCCAAAGAAUAAGCACCGGCUAACUUCGUGCCAGCCGCCGCGGUAA